AAUAAUUGUGUUUACUCGCAAACGAAAAAAAAACCGACUUCAAUUACAUCGACAAGUAAUACAACGUAGAUCGACGAAAAAAUAGUCAAGCAACUACGCGUUAUCAAAGAUUACUCAAAAAGCAGUUAUCAAAUCUCGAUAAAAUUUAUAUGUGACCACAUUAUAAACAUCAGCUUUCGAUUAAAUUAAAAAUUAUCAAAAUCGGUAUACCCAGUAAAAAGUUAUUACGGAUUUUCGAGAGUUUCCCUCGAUUUCUCUGGGAUCCCAUCACCAGAUUUUGGUUUCCUUAUCACGGUACUAAACUAGGGAUAUCCCCUUUCCAACAAAAAAGAAUUAUCAAAAUCGGUACAUCCAGUAGAAAGUUAUGCGGUAUAAUACAACGUAGGUCGACGAAAAAAGCGUCAAGUAAAAACGCAUUUUUAGAUAUAACUCGAAAAGUAGUUGUUAGAUCUCAAAUAAAUUUAAAUGGGACCAAUUGGCACACACCACCUUUCGAUUAAAACAAAAUUUGUCGAAAUCGGUCUACCCGGUCAAAAGUUCUGAUGUAACAUACAUUAAAAAAAAAAAAAAUACAGUCGA
RNAcentral lists this unclassified non-coding RNA (579 nucleotides) under Melitaea cinxia (Glanville fritillary). RNAcentral describes it as "misc RNA ENSMCXG00005015747.1". Lineage: Eukaryota; Metazoa; Arthropoda; Insecta; Lepidoptera; Nymphalidae. The record is from RNAcentral.